RNAcentral lists this microRNA (22 nucleotides) under Citrus sinensis (sweet orange). RNAcentral's name for it is "csi-miR536-5p". Its record names the gene csi-miR536-5p. Lineage: Eukaryota; Viridiplantae; Streptophyta; Magnoliopsida; Sapindales; Rutaceae. The record is from miRBase by way of RNAcentral.
CGCACCCCAGCGUGGAACCAUC